CCUACGGGCGACAGCAGUGGGGAAUAUUGCUCAAUGGGGGAAACCCUGAAGCAGCGACGCCGCGUGAAGGAAGAAGGCAUUCGGUAUGUAAAGCUCUUUUUAUAGAGAAGUAAAUGAAGGUACGUAAGGAAUAAGCACCGGCUAACUCCGUGCCAGCAGCCGCGGUAAUACGUAGGGGGCAACCGUUAUCCGGAUUGACUGGGUGUAAAGGGAGCGUAGACGGGAUAGAAAGUCCGUUGUGAAAGGCGGGGGCUCAACCCCAGAACUGCUCUGGAAACUGUAAAGCUGGAGUAUAGGAGAGGUAGGUGGAAUUCUUGGUGUAGCGGUGAAAUGCUUAGAUAUUAGGAGGAACACCGAUGGCGAAGGCGGCUUACUAGACUGUAACUGACGUUGAUGCUCGAAAGCGUGGGGAGCAAACAGGAUUAGAUACCCCAGUAGUC
Molecule: ribosomal RNA, 440 nt
Filed under: uncultured bacterium
Lineage: Bacteria
Description: partial 16S ribosomal RNA
Rfam family: Bacterial small subunit ribosomal RNA
Source: RNAcentral